Pseudophryne corroboree (corroboree frog) is the source of this 268-nucleotide long non-coding RNA. RefSeq lists it as uncharacterized. The record is from RefSeq and is a predicted model, not a curated record. NCBI's taxonomy places the organism in Eukaryota, Metazoa, Chordata, Amphibia, Anura, Myobatrachidae. The transcript is spliced from 3 exons.
UGAGGACACUGGCGAUAGAAUAGGAGUAGUCGUACCAGAACUGCUGCUUGGUUGCUGAUGGUGCUGGGAUCUGAGUGUUUCAUUGAGCAUCUUCAACACAAUCUGCUGCUGUAUGGCUGAAGUGGACAUACAUAUCUUUACUGGAUGUGGACAAGGCCAUUUUGCUCAGAAUCCAUUUGAUGUUUUUUUGUUUUCGUUUCUUACUCACAAUCAAGAUGAGGGGAGUGUGGUUGGCAUCUUGGAGGUAUAACCAAAAUUUGGAGUGGUG